AUCACACGGGUCAUUUUCUGCGUCUUCCUUGAGAAUGAUUUUGCCAUCUACAAGAAGAAAAUGUCUGACUUUUUCAAAGAUGACACACCACCAUUGUCAAAGUCAGCAACCAAAGAAGAAGGAGGUGAAAGCAACGAAGGUGAAGAAGAACCGGAUGACGACAAAGACGAAGGAGGAGAAGAAGAAGAGCGUGAUGAUGGUAAUGUAGCUGCAGACCAUUAAAGCAUAUUUUCAAAGCCUCUCGUCUUUCUCAAAGCUUCUUGACUUCGUUUGUUAUCAGAAAUUGAAUCUUCUAUUUCUGUCUGUUCCUUCCAUGCGCCACCUCGCCAUUAAAAAAAAAAUUUAACUUAUCACACAAGCUUGGAACAAAGAAAUCCUUCAAUUAUGGAUGGCUUUAGAUGGGACAUUCUCCGUCUCCGUUUUCUUUUUUUUUUCUCUUUUAAUUUAUUAAUGUCUUUGUGGUUCCAUUGCUCUCAUACUGCAAUACAAAGGCAAAGCUCCACAAACUGUGGGAAUAAAGACUUUUUUGAGGUUACGUCGAAAUCCAAGUCUACUCGGCUUCACCCAACCCAAAUGUUUUCCACUCUCUUGACCUUCUCUCUGUUUUUAGAUGGGCCGUUAAACAACGACGUGGAGAUGCUCAGUCAAAACCCAGAGGAAAAUCCAGCCGGAGAUGAGCCAAACCAAGAACAACAGGACGAAGAAAAAGAAAGCCGAGACAAAGAUGAAGAUAUGGCUGUGGACGAUGGGAAGAAGGACAGCGAGGAGAAGGGCCUCGCCACUGAAAAUACUGAAGACAAAGCUGACAAAAAAGAACCUGAAGCAAAGAUGGUGGAAGAAGAGCCAGCAAACUCUGCUAAGGAUAAAGAAGGGGUUUCCAGCACUAAUGCCGGCGACGAAGAUGAGAUGGUAGAUCCUGUUGAGCCUUCAGCAUCAGCCGCCAGCGUUCAGCCCAAAGAUUCUGCUAAAAAGAAUGAAUGACCUGUAGAGAGGAAGAGUCGACCUCAUCUGACAGCCAGCAAACUGUGCAAAGGCCAUCCAGUGGCCCCCCCCCCCACCUUCUCAGUGUGGGCUCUGACCCCGCCCCGGACCACCAGCUAUUCACAAAACGCUCACGUCCCCAACUUUACUUCGCCUCUGUCCUCAUCCUCAGAAAAGAAUCCAUCUUUGACGUCUGUAAAUGUCUGUCUGUAUACGGAGGGACUCCAACAUAUCAACCCGAAAAGAUGAGCCAUACCUCACUG
Molecule: long non-coding RNA, 1244 nt
Filed under: Oryzias sinensis (Chinese medaka)
Lineage: Eukaryota; Metazoa; Chordata; Actinopteri; Beloniformes; Adrianichthyidae
Description: lncRNA (ENSOSIG00000019861.1)
Source: RNAcentral